Molecule: ribosomal RNA, 792 nt
Filed under: uncultured bacterium
Lineage: Bacteria
Description: bacterial SSU rRNA
Rfam family: Bacterial small subunit ribosomal RNA
Source: RNAcentral
UGGAAAGUCAGAUGUGAAAUCCUACAGCUUAACUGUAGAACUGCAUUUGAAACUUCUAAUCUAGAGUAUGGGAGGGGGAGAUGGAAUUAGUGGUGUAGGGGUAAAAUCCGUAGAUAUCACUAGGAAUACCGAAAGCGAAGGCGAUCUCCUGGAACAUAACUGACGCUAAGGCGUGAAAGCGUGGGGAGCAAACAGGAUUAGAUACCCUGGUAGUCCACGCCCUAAACGAUGAACACUAGUCGUCGGGAUGCUAGUCAUCUCGGUGAUGCACUUAACAGAUUAAGUGUUCCGCCUGGGGAGUACGGUCGCAAGAUUAAAACUCAAAGGAAUAGACGGGGACCCGCACAAGUGGUGGAGCAUGUGGUUUAAUUCGAAGAUACGCGAAGAACCUUACCUAGCCUUGACAUUGAUUGAACACACUAGAGAUAGAGUGGUGCCCUUCGGGGAACAUGAAAACAGGUGCUGCACGGCUGUCGUCAGCUCGUGUCGUGAGAUGUUGGGUUAAGUCCCGCAACGAGCGCAACCCUCGUCCUUAGUUGCUAGCAGUUCGGCUGAGCACUCUAAGGAGACUGCCUUCGUAAGGAGGAGGAAGGUGAGGACGACGUCAAGUCAUCAUGGCCCUUAUGGCUAGGGCUACACACGUGCUACAAUGGGGCGUACAGAGUGUUGCGAUACCGCGAGGUGGAGCUAAUCACUUAAAGCGUCUCUCAGUUCGGAUUGGAGUCUGCAACUCGACUCCAUGAAGCUGGAAUCACUAGUAAUCGUAGAUCAGCAAUGCUACGGUGAAUACGU